GAUGAACGCUAGCGAUAGGCUUAACACAUGCAAGUCGAGGGGCAGCACAAGGUAGCUUGCUAUCUGGGUGGCGACCGGCGCACGGGUGCGUAACGCGUAUGCAACUUGCCCUAUACAGGAGGAUAACCCGUCGAAAGACGGACUAAUACUGCGUAUGCUCACAACUUGGCAUCAAGUGGUGAGGAAAGAAAUUCGGUAUAGGAUAGGCAUGCGUCCCACUAGCUUGUUGGUGAGGUAACGGCUCACCAAGGCAACGAUGGGUAGGGGAACUGAGAGGUUUAUCCCCCACACUGGUACUGAGACACGGACCAGACUCCUACGGGAGGCAGCAGUGAGGAAUAUUGGUCAAUGGGCGCGAGCCUGAACCAGCCAAGUCGCGUGAAGGAUGACUGUCUUAUGGAUGGUAAACUUCUUUUAUACGGGAAUAACAAGAGUCACGUGUGACUCCCUGCAUGUACCGUAUGAAUAAGCAUCGGCUAACUCCGUG
RNAcentral lists this ribosomal RNA (487 nucleotides) under uncultured bacterium. Its description in RNAcentral is "partial 16S ribosomal RNA". It matches the Rfam family "Bacterial small subunit ribosomal RNA", at positions 28 to 507 of the family's 1533-position model. The record is from RNAcentral.